Molecule: non-coding RNA, 192 nt
Filed under: Mus musculus (house mouse)
Lineage: Eukaryota; Metazoa; Chordata; Mammalia; Rodentia; Muridae
Description: Eukaryotic large subunit ribosomal RNA
Rfam family: Eukaryotic large subunit ribosomal RNA
Source: Rfam by way of RNAcentral
AGUCGGCCAUCACUGGAAAAAGAGGCCUAUUGGACUUGCAAACUUUAUAUGACUUCUGCCCAGUGCUCUGAAUGUCAAAGUGAAGAAAUUCAAUGAAGCGCAGGAAAACGGCUGGAGUAACUAUGACUCUCUUAAAGUAGCCAAAUGCCUUGUCAUCUAAUUAGUGACGCGCAUGAAUGGAUGAACGAGAUU